This 773-nucleotide ribosomal RNA is filed under the name Streptococcus anginosus. RNAcentral describes it as "bacterial SSU rRNA". It matches the Rfam family "Bacterial small subunit ribosomal RNA", at positions 28 to 776 of the family's 1533-position model. The record is from RNAcentral. Lineage: Bacteria; Bacillati; Bacillota; Bacilli; Lactobacillales; Streptococcaceae.
GACGAACGCUGGCGGCGUGCCUAAUACAUGCAAGUAGGACGCACAGUUUAUACCGUAGCUUGCUACACCAUAGACUGUGAGUUGCGAACGGGUGAGUAACGCGUAGGUAACCUGCCUAUUAGAGGGGGAUAACUAUUGGAAACGAUAGCUAAUACCGCAUAACAGUAUGUAACACAUGUUAGAUGCUUGAAAGAUGCAAUUGCAUCGCUAGUAGAUGGACCUGCGUUGUAUUAGCUAGUAGGUAGGGUAAUGGCCUACCUAGGCGACGAUACAUAGCCGACCUGAGAGGGUGAUCGGCCACACUGGGACUGAGACACGGCCCAGACUCCUACGGGAGGCAGCAGUAGGGAAUCUUCGGCAAUGGGGGGAACCCUGACCGAGCAACGCCGCGUGAGUGAAGAAGGUUUUCGGAUCGUAAAGCUCUGUUGUUAAGGAAGAACGAGUGUGAAAAUGGAAAGUUCAUACUGUGACGGUACUUAACCAGAAAGGGACGGCUAACUACGUGCCAGCAGCCGCGGUAAUACGUAGGUCCCGAGCGUUGUCCGGAUUUAUUGGGCGUAAAGCGAGCGCAGGCGGUUAGAAAAGUCUGAAGUGAAAGGCAGUGGCUCAACCAUUGUAGGCUUUGGAAACUGUUUAACUUGAGUGCAGAAGGGGAGAGUGGAAUUCCAUGUGUAGCGGUGAAAUGCGUAGAUAUAUGGGGGAACACCGGUGGCGAAAGCGGCUCUCUGGUCUGUAACUGACGCUGAGGCUCGAAAGCGUGGGGAGCGAACAGG